GAUGUCAACUAGCCGUUGGAAGGGUAAUCCUUUGAGUGGCGCAGCUAACGCACUAAGUUGACGCCUGGGGAGUACGGUCGCAAGAUUAAAACUCAAAUGAAUUGACGGGGGCCCGCACAAGCGGUGGAGCAUGUGGUUUAAUUCGACGCAACGCGAAGAACCUUACCUGGUCUUGACAUCCAGCGAAUCCUGCAGAGAUGUGGGAGUGCCUUCGGGAGCGCUGAGACAGGUGCUGCAUGGCUGUCGUCAG
RNAcentral lists this ribosomal RNA (250 nucleotides) under uncultured bacterium. RNAcentral describes it as "partial 16S ribosomal RNA". It matches the Rfam family "Bacterial small subunit ribosomal RNA", at positions 808 to 1058 of the family's 1533-position model. The record is from RNAcentral.